GUAACUGCGAGCGAACAGGGAUAAGCCCAGCACCGAAUCCCGCGGCCGACACCGGACGCCGGGAAAUGUGGUGUUAGGGAGGAUUCAUAUAUCCCGAGAUUUUGCGGUGCGUCCAAGUCCUUCUUGAACGGGGCCACAGUCCAUAGAGGGUGCCAGACCCGUAGUGACCACUGCUGAUCGCGGGAGAAUCUCUCCUCAGAGUCGGGUUGCUUGAGAGUGCAGCCCUAAGUGGGUGGUAAACUCCAUCUAAGGCUAAAUAUGACCACGAGACCGAUAGCGAACAAGUACCGUGAGGGAAAGUUGAAAAGCACUUUGAAGAGAGAGUUCAAGAGUACGUGAAACCGUUCAGGGGUAAACCUGAGAAACCCGAAAGGUCGAAAGGGGAAAUUCAUUCGCGUCUCGAUGUUGGCAUUGAAUGAUCGUAUGACGAAUAGCGUCCGCGUUGUUCGCAUCUUUUAUUCUUUGAACUAAUGUCGAAUGCGUGCACUUUUCCCCUAGUAGGACGUCGCGAUCCGUUGGGUGUCGGUCUAAGGCCCAUGGUGGAGCCCAUUCGGACAGUUUACACUGUUUCGUAUGGACCCGUGGUGUUUCCCGACCGGCUCGCUCGACGGUAUACAGAUGGCGCAGAGCCGCGACACAGUUCGCGUUCGGCCCUUUGCAAGCACAAUUCGGUGUUUGCCGGUGAUCGGACCUAGUGCCGUUCCUGG
This 707-nucleotide ribosomal RNA is filed under the name Cucujus clavipes (red flat bark beetle). RNAcentral describes it as "partial large subunit ribosomal RNA". It matches the Rfam family "Eukaryotic large subunit ribosomal RNA", at positions 83 to 622 of the family's 3401-position model. Lineage: Eukaryota; Metazoa; Arthropoda; Insecta; Coleoptera; Cucujidae. The record is from RNAcentral.